CAGCAGCCGCCGCGGUAAUACAGAGGGUGCGAGCGUUAAUCGGAUUUACUGGGCGUAAAGCGUGCGUAGGCGGCUUUUUAAGUCGGAUGUGAAAUCCCUGAGCUUAACUUAGGAAUUGCAUUCGAUACUGGGAAGCUAGAGUAUGGGAGAGGAUGGUAGAAUUCCAGGUGUAGCGGUGAAAUGCGUAGAGAUUUGGAGGAAUACCGAUGGCGAAGGCAGCCAUCUGGCCUAAUACUGACGCUGAGGUACGAAAGCAUGGGGAGCAAACAGGAUUAGAUACCCGCGUAGUCCCUGUCUCUUAUAC
This 304-nucleotide ribosomal RNA is filed under the name uncultured bacterium. RNAcentral's name for it is "partial 16S ribosomal RNA". It matches the Rfam family "Bacterial small subunit ribosomal RNA", at positions 506 to 807 of the family's 1533-position model. The record is from RNAcentral.